RNAcentral lists this ribosomal RNA (900 nucleotides) under Escherichia coli. RNAcentral's name for it is "partial 23S ribosomal RNA". It matches the Rfam family "Bacterial large subunit ribosomal RNA", at positions 2031 to 2925 of the family's 2925-position model. The record is from RNAcentral. Lineage: Bacteria; Pseudomonadati; Pseudomonadota; Gammaproteobacteria; Enterobacterales; Enterobacteriaceae.
ACUCAGUGAAAUUGAACUCGCUGUGAAGAUGCAGUGUACCCGCGGCAAGACGGAAAGACCCCGUGAACCUUUACUAUAGCUUGACACUGAACAUUGAGCCUUGAUGUGUAGGAUAGGUGGGAGGCUUAGAAGUGUGGACGCCAGUCUGCAUGGAGCCGACCUUGAAAUACCACCCUUUAAUGUUUGAUGUUCUAACGUUGACCCGUAAUCCGGGUUGCGGACAGUGUCUGGUGGGUAGUUUGACUGGGGCGGUCUCCUCCUAAAGAGUAACGGAGGAGCACGAAGGUUGGCUAAUCCUGGUCGGACAUCAGGAGGUUAGUGCAAUGGCAUAAGCCAGCUUGACUGCGAGCGUGACGGCGCGAGCAGGUGCGAAAGCAGGUCAUAGUGAUCCGGUGGUUCUGAAUGGAAGGGCCAUCGCUCAACGGAUAAAAGGUACUCCGGGGAUAACAGGCUGAUACCGCCCAAGAGUUCAUAUCGACGGCGGUGUUUGGCACCUCGAUGUCGGCUCAUCACAUCCUGGGGCUGAAGUAGGUCCCAAGGGUAUGGCUGUUCGCCAUUUAAAGUGGUACGCGAGCUGGGUUUAGAACGUCGUGAGACAGUUCGGUCCCUAUCUGCCGUGGGCGCUGGAGAACUGAGGGGGGCUGCUCCUAGUACGAGAGGACCGGAGUGGACGCAUCACUGGUGUUCGGGUUGUCAUGCCAAUGGCACUGCCCGGUAGCUAAAUGCGGAAGAGAUAAGUGCUGAAAGCAUCUAAGCACGAAACUUGCCCCGAGAUGAGUUCUCCCUGACUCCUUGAGAGUCCUGAAGGAACGUUGAAGACGACGACGUUGAUAGGCCGGGUGUGUAAGCGCAGCGAUGCGUUGAGCUAACCGGUACUAAUGAACCGUGAGGCUUAACCUU